RNAcentral lists this ribosomal RNA (788 nucleotides) under Ultracoelostoma dracophylli. Its description in RNAcentral is "partial 28S ribosomal RNA". It matches the Rfam family "Eukaryotic large subunit ribosomal RNA", at positions 397 to 903 of the family's 3401-position model. The record is from RNAcentral. Lineage: Eukaryota; Metazoa; Arthropoda; Insecta; Hemiptera; Coelostomidiidae.
ACGUGAAACCGUUCGGGGGUAAACGGACAGAGCCCGUGAAUCCGGGCUUGCGAAUUCAGGACCGAUCGGCGGCGUUUCGUUCUCUCGCGAGAGCGGAUCGCGCGCGCGGAUCGGUUUGAUGUUCCGUCGGCCACCUUCGUCGGACGUCGCGACCCGUUUGGCGCUGAUCGGAGGAUCGAGGGGACAGUUCGAGUGUGGUCGUACCGCGCGGCGUGCGAACGUCGUGGCGGCGGCUACGCGCGAGCCUUCGAUUCCGAGUCAGCUCGCUCGACGGUAUGACGGUGGUGUCCGAGACGCGGUUAACGCGCGUCGUAAGACGCGUAUCACUCGCUCGGUGCCGGUCUGCGACGAUUCUUCGGGCCUCUUUCCGACCCGUCUUGAAACACGGACCAAGGAGUCUAACGUGUGCGCGAGUCGCGGGGUGUCGUCGAAGGCGGGCGUCGCGUUACUGAUCUUUCGGGGUUAGGGGCGCGACGUCGGUCGUCGACGUUAUUCGAACGAAACCCGAAGAAGGCGUAAUGAAAGUGAAUUUUGGGAGGAUGGCGCCUCGAGUACACCUUCUGGGCGAUUAAGCCGAGACCGAGUGCCCGCACUCCCGGGGCGUCCCGCUAAGUCCGGCCGGUAUUCGCGACGGCGGCGUUCGCGCGUCGUCGUCGGUUGCCGCCGAACUGGGGCGCACUCUUAGCGUACACGUUGGUACCCGAAAGAUGGUGAACUAUGCCCGGCCAGGAUGAAGUCAGGGGAAACCCUGAUGGAGGUCCGCAGCGAUUCUGACGUGCAAAUCGAUC